GACGAACGCUGGCGGCAUGCCUAACACAUGCAAGUCGAACGAGACCUUCGGGUCUAGUGGCGCACUGGUGCGUAACGCGUGGGAAUCUGCCCUCGGGUUCGGAAUAACUCGCCGAAAGGCGUGCUAAUACCGGAUGAUGUCGUAAGACCAAAGAUUUAUCGCCCAGGGAUGAGCCCGCGUAAGAUUAGGUAGUUGGUGAGGUAAAGGCCCACCAAGGCGAUGAUCAGUAGCCGGUCUGAGAGGAUGAACGGCCACAUUGGGACUGAGACACGGCCCAG
This 278-nucleotide ribosomal RNA is filed under the name uncultured bacterium. RNAcentral describes it as "partial 16S ribosomal RNA". It matches the Rfam family "Bacterial small subunit ribosomal RNA", at positions 28 to 334 of the family's 1533-position model. The record is from RNAcentral.